UAAUGGCUAGUGCUAAAAUUUUCCUCGACUCUUGAAAUCUUAUAUAAACCCCAUUGAUAUGAUGGCAUUUAAUGUGUCAAAACACAAAAACCCUAAUCUCCCACACUUGCAUAUCUUGCCCUUCUCUCCUACAUGCUUCAACAUGAAGCACUUUGACACCAUCAAGACCUUUCUCCGGACCUAUCUCCAAUAUCCAGACCUAUCUCCAAUCAUACCUCCAAUGUUAGCACCCAUCAACAUCAAGCUCCUUGUCAC
This 255-nucleotide long non-coding RNA is filed under the name Phoenix dactylifera (date palm). RNAcentral describes it as "long non-coding RNA (PDAC_LNC004876)". Lineage: Eukaryota; Viridiplantae; Streptophyta; Magnoliopsida; Arecales; Arecaceae. The record is from RNAcentral.